UGGGGAAUCUUGCGCAAUGGGCGAAAGCCUGACGCAGCCAUGCCGCGUGAAUGAUGAAGGUCUUAGGAUUGUAAAAUUCUUUCACCGAGGACGAUAAUGACGGUACUCGGAGAAGAAGCCCCGGCUAACUUCGUGCCAGCAGCCGCGGUAAUACGAAGGGGGCUAGCGUUGCUCGGAAUUACUGGGCGUAAAGGGAGCGUAGGCGGAUAGUUUAGUCAGAGGUGAAAGCCCAGGGCUCAACCUUGGAAUUGCCUUUGAUACUGGCUAUCUUGAGUACGGAAGAGGUAUGUGGAACUCCGAGUGUAGAGGUGAAAUUCGUAGAUAUUCGGAAGAACACCAGUGGCGAAGGCGACAUACUGGUCCGUUACUGACGCUGAGGCUCGAAAGCGUGGGGAGCAAACAGGAUUAGAUACCCCAGUAGUCCCUGAGCGGGCUGGCAAGGCGCAU
This 447-nucleotide ribosomal RNA is filed under the name uncultured bacterium. RNAcentral's name for it is "bacterial SSU rRNA". It matches the Rfam family "Bacterial small subunit ribosomal RNA", at positions 355 to 825 of the family's 1533-position model. The record is from RNAcentral.